This 490-nucleotide ribosomal RNA is filed under the name Leptomastix dactylopii. RNAcentral describes it as "partial 16S ribosomal RNA". Lineage: Eukaryota; Metazoa; Arthropoda; Insecta; Hymenoptera; Encyrtidae. The record is from RNAcentral.
UUAAUAAUAAAUAUUUUCUGCUCAAUGAAUUAAAAUUUAAAUAGCUGCAGUAUUUUGACUGUACAAAGGUAGCAUAAUCAUUUGAUUUUUUAUUGAAAUCUUGUAUGAAGGGAAGAAUGAAAUAAUGACUUUAAAAAAUUAAUAAAUUAAAUUUUAUUUAUAAGUUAAAAAUCUUAAAUUUUUUUUAAAGACGAGAAGACCCUAUAGAAUUUUAUAUAAAUUUUAAUAAUUUAAAUAAUUUUAUUAAUGAAUUUAAUUAAUUAAAAAUUAUAUUUAAUUGGGGUUAUUUAAAAAUUUAGUUAAAUUUUUAAUUAAUUAAAAAUUUAUAAAUUAGAUUAAAAACUAUUAAUAAUAAAAUUAAAUUAAAUUACCUUAGGGAUAACAGCGUAAUUAUUUUUGAAAGAUCUUAUUGAUAAAAUAGAUUGCGACCUCGAUGUUGAAUUAAGAUAAAUUUUUAAUGUAGAUAUUAAAAAAUUAAGUCUGUUCGACU